This 307-nucleotide long non-coding RNA is filed under the name Gossypium raimondii (Peruvian cotton). Its description in RNAcentral is "long non-coding RNA (GRAI_LNC010758)". The record is from RNAcentral. Lineage: Eukaryota; Viridiplantae; Streptophyta; Magnoliopsida; Malvales; Malvaceae.
UUGGUUUGAUGGUUAAAUGGUGUGUUAUUAUGGUGGAGGUCUUGUGUUCGAAUCCCUCUGUAGGCAAGGGUAUUUUUUUUUGCUCAGAUUUUGGGAUAGAGUUGUGCAAUAAGGGGAUUCUGAGUAGUGGGAAUUAGGGGAAAAGAUUAAGGGAUUUUAGGGGUUAUCAGGAUUUUAUUUUCUUUUUUUUCCAUAACCGAAUUUUGACUCUCUUUUCCAAAAAGAAAUCCUGCCAUCUAUUCUUCUUCCUCUCCUCUUGCCGAAAUUCUCUGAGUUUUUCCAUCUUUCUCGUCUUCUUGAUUUUUCC